GAUGAACGCUGGCGGCGUGCCUAAUACAUGCAAGUAGAACGCUGAAGGAGGAGCUUGCUCUUCUGGAUGAGUUGCGAACGGGUGAGUAACGCGUAGGUAACCUGCCUGGUAGCGGGGGAUAACUAUUGGAAACGAUAGCUAAUACCGCAUGACAACAGUUAUUGCAUGAUAACUGUUUAAAAGGGGCAACUGCUCCACUACCAGAUGGACCUGCGUUGUAUUAGCUAGUUGGUGAGGUAACGGCUCACCAAGGCGACGAUACAUAGCCGACCUGCGAGGGUGAGCAGCCACGCUGGGACUGAGACACGACCCAGACUCCUACGAGAGGCAGCAGUAGGGAAUCUUCGGCAACGGACGGAAGUCUGACCAAGAAACGACGCGUGAGAGAAGAAGGUUGUCGGAUCGUAAAGCUCGGUUGUAAGAGAAGAACGAGUGUGAGAGUGGAAAGUGAACACUGUGACGGUAACUUACCAGAAAGGGACGGCUAACUACGUG
This 495-nucleotide ribosomal RNA is filed under the name uncultured bacterium. RNAcentral describes it as "partial 16S ribosomal RNA". It matches the Rfam family "Bacterial small subunit ribosomal RNA", at positions 28 to 507 of the family's 1533-position model. The record is from RNAcentral.